AACGAACGCUGGCGGCAUGCCUAACACAUGCAAGUCGAACGGAUGCAGCAAUGCAUCAGUGGCAGACGGGUGAGUAACACGUGGGAAUCUACCCAGUAGCCUGGAAUAACCGCGGGAAACUGCGGCUAAUACCGGAUACGCCCCUCGGGGGAAAGGAGCAAUCCACUAUUGGAGGAGCCCGCGUCCGAUUAGCUAGUUGGUGAGGUAACGGCUCACCAAGGCGAUGAUCGGUAGCUGGUUUGAGAGAACGACCAGCCACACUGGGACUGAGACACGGCCCAGACUCCUACGGGAGGCAGCAGUGGGGAAUAUUGGACAAUGGGGGAAACCCUGAUCCAGCAAUGCCGCGUGGGUGAUGAAGGCCUUCGGGUUGUAAAGCCCUUUUGGCGGGGACGAUGAUGACGGUACCCGCAGAAGAAGCCCCGGCUAACUUCGUGCCAGCAGCCGCAGUAA
RNAcentral lists this ribosomal RNA (453 nucleotides) under uncultured bacterium. Its description in RNAcentral is "partial 16S ribosomal RNA". It matches the Rfam family "Bacterial small subunit ribosomal RNA", at positions 29 to 523 of the family's 1533-position model. The record is from RNAcentral.